CUGUAAUUAUAAUAAAAACAUUUAACUGAGAGUACAUUGAUCCGGUAGAGUUUCGUACCACUUGCUUUAAAUUGCACAAUCCCGUUUUUCCCACCACAUCAGUUAAAAUGUAUUGAACAUUCAUUACAACCUAUCAUUAAGGAGAUGUAUAAAGACCCAAUCUUGAAGUGUUUAGCAAUUAGGUAAAGUGGGUUGGUUCCCCAUGAGAGCGCUGCAUUUAGCUACCACAUUUCACAGAGGAGCAGGGCUGUUUAACCUCCCUGCCUAUAAAGAAGACAGGCAAGGACCUCACCACUUGAUUUCUGGCUUGAUAAUCUAGUCAAGAUAUUUCACACUUUUCUAAUGUUCACAUGUUGGAUUUCCCUGCUGCCUGGGCCCACCACCAUUCUAUAUUCUGUUUUCUUCCUUAUCCAUUCCCUAUUCAAACUCCACAUCUACCUGACAGCCACUGGGCAGUGGCCUCUGUCAGCACAUUUUAUGAGAAAGGGGAAGCAGCUGUCUAGUCCUUAGAGCCUCAAAAGACCAGUGUUAGCCAAAUGCGAAACAAGGGAAAACUUGGAAAGCUUGCAGAUCAAGACAACAAAAUCCAAAGACGCCUAGGGGAAGUCCAGGCUUCUGGCUGGAGUAGAAUUUGCUAAAGUUAGAACGAUUCUAUGGUCCGCUCUCAAGUAAAUGCUUCCAUUAGUUCAGUGAUAGGCUUUCUUGUGGAAAUCAUGUAGACUUGCAUCUGCGAACCCAGUGACCAGUGUUGUGUGAAGAAUUGGUUUCUGUGAUCAUUAAGAUCUGUUUAUUAAGAUGUGAGUUUGUGGAACUGUUGUAUUGAAAGAGUAGGAAUCCUGAGGACUCAUAAAAACAAACAAACAAACAAACAAACAAAAAACUCCACAUUUUUCACUUUGGGAGGCUGAGGCUGGAGGAUCACUUGAGCUUAGGAGUUUGAGAUCAGCCUGGGCAGCCUAGUGCGACCCCUUGUCUACAAAAAAAUUUAAAAAAUUAGCCAGGCAUGGUGGUAUGUGCCUCUAGUUCCAGCUACUUGGGAGGCUGAGGAAGAAGGAUUACUUGAGCCCAGGAGGUCAAGACUGCAGUGAGCCAAGAUCGUACCACUGCACUCCACCCUGGGUGACAGAGUAAGACCCUGUCUCAAAAUAAAAACAAAAAAUGCCACAUAUUUUCUCCUCUUGCCCCUCAACCCCCUACAAGUGCUCUCUUCUCCCACUUCUCCCCAUAGAAGGAGGGAGAGGAAAACAUACACAUCUCAACACUAGCAUUCCUCAACGUCAGCUCUUUAAUACCCUCAAGGUGGUAUUGGGCUGAUUGAAAUUCCUGAUCUCUUCUUUUGCAAGUCUUGUGUGAGGGAUCUGUACCAACCUGUGAAAUGUGGGAGUACUUGACACCUAUUGACUCCAAUGGAGCUUUGACCAAAGCUGACCCAUUUCAUCCUAUUGGGUCCGUGCAUGCAAAUUAUCAUCUUUACCACCAUCAUCAUCAUCACUACAUUGCCCAACUUGUUUUGUAUCAUAUUUAAUCAAAAUUCCAAAAGCAGGAAACAUUGCAUAAGAGAAAGUGGGUAGAGUUUCGGAAGUAGUGAUGCAAAAAAUAAAAAACAAGUAUGGAUACAUAAAAUUGGAAUAAGGCUAAAAACCACACACUUAACAUCAGUGGGCCAAAAUUUGGUUCUGAGCUUUUGAGUCAAACCAGGAGGAGUCCAACUGGUCUUAGAAUGUGAGCCAGAGGGAUAUUUUUGGAGUUCAGGUAAUCAGUAGAUUGUGAUGAUGACAGCAUUUCUCAUGUAUUUAAAUUGAAUUUGCUUUUAAAAGCUAGACAAUUAUAAUGCUAUUAAUUUCCUCUAUUGCUCACCCUUCCUUCUAAAAAGCUCCAACAUUAAAUAAAUGAACAUAAAAAUCCCCCCAAAAAAACCAAAUCUGCCCAAGACACAAAAUUAUUUCCACCUUACAUGUGAAGUUGUGAACUAUCCUACCCAUGAACAUUGUUACAGAGGCCAUUUUCAGUAAAGAGGAAACAAGAGUCCUCUCGUGGUGAACAGCAGUUUUUUGAUUGUGCAGUAUCCAUUCCAUAAUCGCACCCAAGGGGUGGGCACGGGAUCCAAGCAGGCUGAUGGGAAUUCCCUCGCUGGAAUUUGAAUCGCAGAGUGAUGUAGAGACAGAAAACGCCCAGCUGUCAUUCAUCCAGUUUCUGCACCUCGGUGGGCUGGAGUCCAGUCUCUGAGGCCCCCCACCCCUGGCUAGACCUACUGACCCUGUCCUUUGUGAGCUUGGACCUUCUUCCUUCUUCCCUCUCCUGUGAGACUACCAGCCUCUCCCUGCCCCCCUCAGCCUCCUAUAACAUCUUUUUUUACUUACGAUAAUCAGAGACUCAGUUCCUGUUUCUUGCAACCCAAGUGUUCUGACUGGUAUGCUUUCAAUACGGUUUCAGAGUGAAAUACAGUCAGUGGGAUGGUUUUAGGUGGCACACAAGGAACAUUUACAUUUUUCAGUUAUGUAAUUAUUUUAAUGCACAUUGCGAAAAACUAUAAACAGCACAUCAAACCCACAAUGUCAUGGGUAUUAUUGCUUAGAAUGACUUCAAUACAUUUAUUUAAGUCGAAAAGUGAGUCAUUUAAAAGGAAAACGCUACGUGAUAGUACAGGUGUCCCUGGCUAUGGGGGAGAAACAGUCUCAAAUGUGCUGUGCAAAUAGCUUGCAGAGGCCAUGAGGACGUCACAUUUUUGUAAGAGAGCGAGCGCUAGAUCUGAGUUUUGAGGAGUUCCUUCUACCAUCGUGGGACACGGUGAGAGAUGAGUGGUUGGGGAGGUCAGAGCUGGGGGGAAACCUCCUGCCAUGGCCCAGAGAGAGGGACCAGGCAUGGACUGGAGAGAAACGGAUGGCUGCCCUGAGCCUCACAGAUGACCCUUCAUCCUCCUCCUCCUUGGCUGGCAGGCAUAAAGCAGAUCAACCAAGGUCCAGGGGAGGAGGGGCGCUUCCAGAGCCCUCCCGGGGUUUCUUUUCUUUCUCCGUUUUCCCUUCUUCCUUCCCCAUUUCCUUCCCUUAUCAUUGAGUGUCCCCUAACCACCCCCCUUCCCCCACCUCAGGCCUGUCUGGCUUCGCUGGCUGAGCGGCCCUUGUGGUGGUUAUGGCAGGUGUGAGGCUUUAGAGGCCAUCCUGCCCUCAACAAGGGGAUGGCUGUGGAGCAUCAUCCCAAUUCUGCAGCCUCUCAUCUGAAGCUCAGGCCAUCAGGAGGGAGCCCUCAGGCUUCUCUCUGACGUUUCUUCCAUUUGUCAACCUCUCAGCUCCUCAGCUCAGGUCACAGACAAGGUGGAGGAGCCCCCAGCACGUUUAGGCAGGCUCUUUCCCUGUCACCCCUCACCACCCCGCACCAUACACUAACCUGGAGGUCUCCUGGGUACUUUGCCAAGUCAGGGAAUGAGAAAGGUCUGACCCUGUGGCUUCAGGCUAGAACUCUCCCCCAUCUACUUGGCUCUGGUCCCUGAGCCAGCUGCCCAUCCUUCCAGGGCACAGUGGAUGCAAACCCCACAAUACCCAGUGGCUUCUUUAGCACAGACAUUGUUCUGUCUAUAUCAAGACCCCAGAACCAUGUCCGUGCUAAAGAAGCCACUGGUUUUAUUGUGGGGCUUUAUCUUUUUUUUUUUU
RNAcentral lists this long non-coding RNA (3647 nucleotides) under Homo sapiens (human). Its description in RNAcentral is "HSALNT0061538". Lineage: Eukaryota; Metazoa; Chordata; Mammalia; Primates; Hominidae. The record is from RNAcentral.